Podarcis lilfordi (Lilford's wall lizard) is the source of this 81-nucleotide non-coding RNA. The record is from the annotation of a GenBank genome assembly. Lineage: Eukaryota; Metazoa; Chordata; Lepidosauria; Squamata; Lacertidae.
AUGCAUUAUCUAUCUCUAUAUAUAUUGAUAUCUAAUGCAUAUCUAAAGAUAUCAAUAUAUAUAGAGAUAGAUAAUGCAUUU